UGAUUAACUGGACGUUACCCACAGAAGAAGCACCGGCUAACUCCGUGCCAGCAGCCGCGGUAAUACGGAGGGUGCGAGCGUUAAUCGGAAUUACUGGGCGUAAAGGGUGCGUAGGUGGUUGAUUAAGUUAUCUGUGAAAUUCCUGGGCUUAACCUGGGACGGUCAGAUAAUACUGGUUGACUCGAGUAUGGGAGAGGGUAGUGGAAUUUCCGGUGUAGCGGUGAAAUGCGUAGAGAUCGGAAGGAACACCAGUGGCGAAGGCGGCUACCUGGCCUAAUACUGACACUGAGGCACGAAAGCGUGGGGAGCAAACAGGAUUAGAUACCCUGGUAGUCCACGC
This 340-nucleotide ribosomal RNA is filed under the name Legionella pneumophila. RNAcentral's name for it is "bacterial SSU rRNA". It matches the Rfam family "Bacterial small subunit ribosomal RNA", at positions 461 to 800 of the family's 1533-position model. Lineage: Bacteria; Pseudomonadati; Pseudomonadota; Gammaproteobacteria; Legionellales; Legionellaceae. The record is from RNAcentral.